This is a long non-coding RNA of Ziziphus jujuba (common jujube), 778 nucleotides long. RefSeq lists it as uncharacterized. The transcript is spliced from 2 exons. NCBI's taxonomy places the organism in Eukaryota, Viridiplantae, Streptophyta, Magnoliopsida, Rosales, Rhamnaceae. The record is from RefSeq and is a predicted model, not a curated record.
CGCUAAUUCUUUUAAAAAUGGUAAAAGAAAAAAACUAAUUUUACAAGCACCAGGCGGUAACCUUCGUCAUCUCCCGGGAAAAUAAUAAACAACGAACUUGGAAAAAGUAUAACCAUCGGACGGUCCAGAUUCAUUACGACACUUUAGACUUUUGCUAUAUAGUGGGGUGGGGUUGCAUCUAUUAGCCGCGUCUUCGUUACGGGGAAUAUUGUCAACAUUGUAGAGGUCUAGGGUUUUGCUUCCAUCCCCCGCCGUCUCUUUUCGCUAUCCUCUUUCCCUCAUUUUUUUUUUUUUUGUUCUUCCUUCUCCGCCGUUUCAAUACGUUUAAUAAAAGAUCUUAUAUUUGAUGCGAUGAAGAAAGUGUUGUGGAAUAAAAUGAUCGAUUGCCUUUGCAAGAUGAAUAUACAAUUCGGACCUAUGGAGGAAGCGCGAUGCAAAAACGGUGCGCUUUUAUCCAAGUUUGCCUUCGAAAAAUAAGUACCGAAAGCAGAUCACGGAAUCUAUAUAUUUUCUUAUGGGUAUGGAUUUCGGUUUUGUUUUGUGAUCUAAUUUUCGAACACUUAAUUUCCAUUGAAAAUUAUUUUUCAUAUGUGAACUACUUCUGAAGUAAAGCGAAGGUCCCAGCGGAGAGGUAAUGGACUCUGACAUUGAGACCUCUCCAACACUAACUUAUGUAUCCUUCGCACAAUCACUCGCCGAAUCGUAAGAUGCCCAGAAUUUUCUCACAUUUUUGGAGCAUCUGGAACCCUCGGCUAUAUAAUAUAUUUAAAGUUUCCGA